This 544-nucleotide ribosomal RNA is filed under the name uncultured organism. RNAcentral describes it as "bacterial SSU rRNA". It matches the Rfam family "Bacterial small subunit ribosomal RNA", at positions 1 to 532 of the family's 1533-position model. The record is from RNAcentral.
UGGAUCCAGACUUUGAUUCUGGCUCAGGAUGAACGCUAGCUACAGGCUUAACACAUGCAAGUCGAGGGGAAACGACAUCGAAAGCUUGCUUUUGAUGGGCGUCGACCGGCGCACGGGUGAGUAACGCGUAUCCAACCUGCCCACCACUUGGGGAUAACCUUGCGAAAGUAAGACUAAUACCCAAUGAUAUCUCUAGAAGACAUCUGAAAGAGAUUAAAGAUUUAUCGGUGAUGGAUGGGGAUGCGUCUGAUUAGCUUGUUGGCGGGGUAACGGCCCACCAAGGCUACGAUCAGUAGGGGUUCUGAGAGGAAGGUCCCCCACAUUGGAACUGAGACACGGUCCAAACUCCUACGGGAGGCAGCAGUGAGGAAUAUUGGUCAAUGGACGAGAGUCUGAACCAGCCAAGUAGCGUGCAGGAUGACGGCCCUAUGGGUUGUAAACUGCUUUUAUAAGGGAAUAAAGUGAGUCUCGUGAGGCUUUUUGCAUGUACCUUAUGAAUAAGGACCGGCUAAUUCCGUGCCAGCAGCCGCGGUAAUACGGAAGG